UCCUACGGGAGGCAGCAGUGGGGAAUUUUCCGCAAUGGGCGAAAGCCUGACGGAGCAACGCCGCGUGAGGGAUGAAGGCCUCUGGGCUGUAAACCUCUUUUAUCAAGGAAGAAGAUCUGACGGUACUUGAUGAAUAAGCCACGGCUAAUUCCGUGCCAGCAGCCGCGGUAAUACGGGAGUGGCAAGCGUUAUCCGGAAUUAUUGGGCGUAAAGCGUCCACAGGCGGUCUGUCAAGUCUGCUGUUAAAGCGUGGAGCUUAACUCCAUUUCGGCAGUGGAAACUGACAGACUAGAGUGUGGUAGGGGCAGAGGGAAUUCCCGGUGUAGCGGUGAAAUGCGUAGAUAUCGGGAAGAACACCAGUGGCGAAGGCGCUCUGCUGGGCCAUAACUGACGCUCAUGGACGAAAGCCAGGGGAGCGAAAGGGAUUAGAUACCCCUGUAGUCCUGGCCGUAAACGAUGAACACUAGGUGUCGGGGGAAUCGACCCCCUCGGUGUCGUAGCCAACGCGUUAAGUGUUCCGCCUGGGGAGUACGCACGCAAGUGUGAAACUCAAAGGAAUUGACGGA
Molecule: ribosomal RNA, 566 nt
Filed under: uncultured bacterium
Lineage: Bacteria
Description: bacterial SSU rRNA
Rfam family: Bacterial small subunit ribosomal RNA
Source: RNAcentral